This 263-nucleotide ribosomal RNA is filed under the name uncultured Staphylococcus sp. RNAcentral describes it as "partial 16S ribosomal RNA". It matches the Rfam family "Bacterial small subunit ribosomal RNA", at positions 99 to 355 of the family's 1533-position model. Lineage: Bacteria; Bacillati; Bacillota; Bacilli; Caryophanales; Staphylococcaceae. The record is from RNAcentral.
CGGACGGGUGAGUAACACGUGGAUAACCUACCUAUAAGACUAGGAUAACUUCGGGAAAACGGAGCUAAUACCGGAUAAUAUUUUGAACCGCAUGGUUCAAAAGUGAAAGACGGUCUUGCUGUCACUUAUAGAUGGAUCCGCGCUGCAUUAGCUAGUUGGUAAGGUAACGGCUUACCAAGGCAACGAUGCAUAGCCGACCUGAGAGGGUGAUCGGCCACACUGGAACUGAGAAACGGUCCAGACUCCUACGGGAGGCAGCAGUA